AACGAACGCUGGCGGCAUGCCUAACACAUGCAAGUCGAACGAGACCUUCGGGCCUAGUGGCGCACGGGUGCGUAACGCGUGGGAACCUGCCCUUAGGUUCGGAAUAACUCCCCGAAAGGGGUCCUAAUACCGGAUAAUGUCUUCGGACCAAAGAUUUAUCGCCUUUGGAUGGGCCCUCGUUGGAUUAGCUAGUUGGUAGGGUAAAAGCCUACCAAGGCGACGAUCCAUAGCUGGUCUGAGAGGAUGAUCAGCCACAAUGGGACUGAGACACGGCCCAGACUCGUACGGGAGGCAGCAGUGGGGAAUAUUGGACAAGGGGCGAAAGCCUGAUACAGCAAUGCCGCGGGAGUGAUGAAGGCCUUAGGGUUGUAAAGCUCUUUUACCCGGGGUGAUAAUGACAGUAACGGGAGAAUAAGCUCCGGCUAACUCCGUG
Molecule: ribosomal RNA, 433 nt
Filed under: uncultured bacterium
Lineage: Bacteria
Description: partial 16S ribosomal RNA
Rfam family: Bacterial small subunit ribosomal RNA
Source: RNAcentral